RNAcentral lists this ribosomal RNA (484 nucleotides) under uncultured bacterium. Its description in RNAcentral is "partial 16S ribosomal RNA". It matches the Rfam family "Bacterial small subunit ribosomal RNA", at positions 30 to 507 of the family's 1533-position model. The record is from RNAcentral.
AUUGAACGCUGGCGGCAUGCCUUACACAUGCAAGUCGAACGGCAGCGCGGACUUCGGUCUGGCGGCGAGUGGCGAACGGGUGAGUAAUACAUCGGAACGUACCCUGUUGUGGGGGAUAACUAGUCGAAAGAUUAGCUAAUACCGCAUACGACCUGAGGGUGAAAGUGGGGGACCGCAAGGCCUCACGCAGCAGGAGCGGCCGAUGUCUGAUUAGCUAGUUGGUGGGGUAAAGGCCCACCAAGGCGACGAUCAGUAGCUAGUCUGAGAGGACGAUCAGCCACACUGGGACUGAGACACGGCCCAGACUCCUACGGGAGGCAGCAGUGGGGAAUUUUGGACAAUGGGGGCAACCCUGAUCCAGCAAUGCCGCGUGUGUGAAGAAGGCCUUCGGGUUGUAAAGCACUUUUGUCCGGAAAGAAAUCGCGCUGGUUAAUACCUGGCGUGGAUGAGGGUACCGGAAGAAUAAGCACCGGCUAACUACGUG